GACGAACGCUGGCGGCGUGCUUAACACAUGCAAGUCGAACGAAGUGGCGAACGGGUGAGUAACGCGUAAUCAACCUGCCCUUCACAGGGGGCCAACAGUUGGAAACGACUGCUAAUCCCGCAUACUGAAGGAGGGGAUUGCGUCUGUUUAGCUCGUUGGAGGGGAAACGGCCCACCAAGGCGAUGAUCAGUAGCCGGUCGAAGAGGAUGAUCGGCAAAAUUGGGACUGGGACACGGCCCAGACUCCUACGGGAGGCAGCAGUGGGGAAUCUUCCGCAAUGGACGAAAGUCUGACGGAGCAACGGCGCGUGAGUGAUGACGGCCUUCGGGUUGUAAAGCUCUGUUAAUCGGGACGCGGUACCGGAAUAGAAAACCACGGCUAACUACGUGCCAGCAGCCGCGGUAAUAC
RNAcentral lists this ribosomal RNA (408 nucleotides) under uncultured bacterium. RNAcentral's name for it is "partial 16S ribosomal RNA". It matches the Rfam family "Bacterial small subunit ribosomal RNA", at positions 28 to 526 of the family's 1533-position model. The record is from RNAcentral.